Non-coding RNA from Danio rerio (zebrafish), 950 nucleotides. The record is from RefSeq and is a predicted model, not a curated record. Lineage: Eukaryota; Metazoa; Chordata; Actinopteri; Cypriniformes; Danionidae.
UGUAAAGCUUUUAUUAUUAUUAUUUUUAAGAGACUUCCUUUACUUUAACAUUAAAAUGAUGACUCACAACGCCUUUAAUAUCAUAGGACGUUUCCAAAAGCUGCAUGUCUUCAAAUCCCUCACAUAAUUGUCAACCACCUCCAAAAAGUAAAAAAAAAAAACCAUUAGCAUUGUUCCCCUUUCCGUCAACCUCUCUGUCCAUUCUUCACAAGACGAAGCAGACAAGUUGCAACUGUGUGGACGGACUGUCUCCACAAACGCUUAGAGGCUCAGCGAUUCGAACACAAAGACUGGCAAACAGAAGGGUUUCAGGCAGGGUCACGACAGAUAAUGCCAAGGAGUGGCGCUAAAGUCGAGAGCGAUGUUAGCAUUAGAACAAACAAAGUCAACCACGGCCAUGAAAGCUGCCUGUCAGAGGCGGAUCAGGAAACAAAGGAAUUGGGGCAAAAAUAUGAGGAACAACCAUGGAGAAUCAAACAUCUGUCACGUAGACCAAAGGCGCAAAGCGAACACUUCCAGCAGCAGGGUCCAAGCGGCGGGGUGACGUAGACAAGUCCAGCUCCUCAGGGACAGCAGCGAUGGCUAUCUAUGUCUGACUGUUAUGGCUAUCUCUAAUAGGAGCCCAGAACCCACUGACCAUGGCGAACGGGGCCGACAGGAUGUGACUUAAUGUUUUCUUUUAUUCUUCAAUCAUUGCAAGCAAACGUUUUAUGAGCCAGAGGUUUCUAAAAGACAGCGAUUGGUUGAUUUCAUGUUUUAUGUGAGUAAAACAUGUAAUGUAACACAAAGUGCAACUGUUAUAAACGUGAAUAAAAUGAUGUGUACUGUUCAAAUGUACUUUUGUUCGUGGCUGUUUUUGCCCUAUUGAUGUCCAUUAAAAAAGUGUGGAUUUUCUGCACAAUUAGGGGUAGAGUUAGGGUUAGGGGCAGGCCGGACCCUUACCCAUUACA